RNAcentral lists this ribosomal RNA (253 nucleotides) under uncultured bacterium. RNAcentral's name for it is "partial 16S ribosomal RNA". It matches the Rfam family "Bacterial small subunit ribosomal RNA", at positions 524 to 776 of the family's 1533-position model. The record is from RNAcentral.
UACGGGGGGGGCAAGCGUUGUUCGGAAUUACUGGGCGUAAAGGGCUCGUAGGCGGCCAACUAAGUCAGACGUGAAAUCCCCAGGCUCAACCUGGGAACUGCGUCUGAUACUGGAUGGCUUGAAUUCGGGAGAGGGAUGCAGAAUUCCAGGUGUAGCGGUGAAAUGCGUAGAUAUUGGGAGGAACACCAGUGGCGAAGGCGGCUACCUGGACCGGUUCUGACGCUGAUGCGCGAAAGCGUGGGUAGCAAACAGG